This 357-nucleotide ribosomal RNA is filed under the name Dahlica triquetrella. RNAcentral describes it as "partial 12S ribosomal RNA". The record is from RNAcentral. Lineage: Eukaryota; Metazoa; Arthropoda; Insecta; Lepidoptera; Psychidae.
AAUUUUUAAUCAUUUUUUUAAAAUUAUUAAAAUUCCAUUCAAAUUCUUUUUCAAUUAAAUAAUUUCAAUUUUAAUAUUCAUUUAAAUAAAUUUAUUGUAAUUCAUUUAUUCUAAAUUAUUAAUUACAUCUUGAUUUGAUUUAAUUUUAUUUCUAAAACUUUAAAUAUUAUAAAUUUAUAAAAAAUAUUUUUUUAACAAUGAUAUAUAAAUUUUUAAAUUAAGUAAAUUAAUUCGUGGAUUAUCAAUUAUUAAACAAAUUCCUCUAAAUAAAAUAAAAUACUGCCAAAUUAUUUAAGUUUCGUAUAAUAAUAUAAAUUACUAUUUUAGUAUUAAAACAUUUAAUUUUAUAAUAGGGUA